AGGUGCGUACCCAAGCGGUCAACGGGGACAGACUCAAAAUCUGCUGGUUAGUCCUUCGUGGGUUCGAAUCCCACCGCACCUA
RNAcentral lists this transfer RNA (82 nucleotides) under Methanobrevibacter millerae. RNAcentral describes it as "tRNA_Leu_CAA". It matches the Rfam family "tRNA". From Rfam's summary of the family: Transfer RNA (tRNA) molecules are approximately 80 nucleotides in length. Their secondary structure includes four short double-helical elements and three loops (D, anti-codon, and T loops). The record is from RNAcentral. Lineage: Archaea; Methanobacteriati; Methanobacteriota; Methanobacteria; Methanobacteriales; Methanobacteriaceae.